Molecule: long non-coding RNA, 1189 nt
Filed under: Homo sapiens (human)
Lineage: Eukaryota; Metazoa; Chordata; Mammalia; Primates; Hominidae
Description: novel transcript
Source: RNAcentral
CAAAGUGCUGGGAUUACAGUCUGGAGCCACCGCGCCCGGCCCUGAGAUGUCUCCAAGUGGUGGUGAGACAUCAUCAAAUCCUAAGAAACAAUAUACUUGAAGAUUUUUCACUCACUGCAUCAAAGCUACAGCUCUGAAAAGCUUUGCAAAGAUCUAACAUCAUCAAAGGGAAGAGAGUACAAUCUAAAGCUGAAAUUAUGAGCUCCCUCAAGCUGGUGGAUCACACACACUGCUCAAUAGAUACUGUUGUGGCUUCUUCCAUUUAAAAUAAUUCUGUGGCGCCUUUGUAAUUGUUCUGUGGUGCUCUGGAAGACCUUUGUGCACAAUGUGGGAAUCUCACUCUUAACACAUCCACAGUUAAUAAGUCUUUGGCAAAGACUUAUUAACUUUGCCAAACUAGCAGAUGUAAAAUGUUCUAACAAGAUUUAGUUUGCAUUUCCCAAAUUAUUAAAUAGAUUGAACAUCUUUUCAAGUGUUUAUCAGUUAACCUGAUUCCCUAUUCAGUGAAUAUCUGUUAAUUUCAUUUGCACAUUUUAAUAAGUUUGUCUUUUAUUGUGGUAAGUGUUCUUUAUAUAUUCUAAAAACUUAUUAUCCCUGUACAUUAUAUAUGAUCAGAUAUAUACUAUCAGUGUAUUUCUUACCUUUAACUUAGUUUAUUUGUUUUGUUUUUUUACUAAUACUAUUUAAGCGAAAUUCAGAUUCAAGUAGAAUUCAGAACUUGAAAACUCAAUAGAUUUCUUUAUUUCAUACUACUGAUUUUAUGAAGAGUAAAUUGAGAGUGAAGAUAUAUGUAUCUAAGUUUAGCCUGUUGGUUAGUGACACAAAGAAAAUUAGAAAUUGGGUCUUUUAAUUUCUGUGCUAGUGAUUGGGAAUCAUACCAACAUAUUCUCCACUGAGCUCUGGUUAAAGUUGUAUUCUUAGGGGAACAAAAAAAAGAUAAGACUCACACCCUGCUAAUUCACUGGGUCUUUUUUUUUUUUUUUUUUAGAUGGAGUCUUGCUCUGUCACCCAAGCUAGAGUGCACUUGGUCUUGAAUUAUACAUAUACUGAUUUUAUUUUUUUAACAAAGGUUGCACUUAGGUGAAAAGUACCUUUUGAGAGUCCUCCUUUCUUCCUCUGUCUUUUCUCUCUGCUAGGUUUCAUUUGAUAGCCUUGAAUGUGAAUAAAGAAUAAAUACGGCUUUCCCGUA